This 386-nucleotide ribosomal RNA is filed under the name uncultured bacterium. RNAcentral describes it as "bacterial SSU rRNA". It matches the Rfam family "Bacterial small subunit ribosomal RNA", at positions 28 to 416 of the family's 1533-position model. The record is from RNAcentral.
GACGAACGCUGGCGGCGUGCUUAACACAUGCAAGUCGAGCGGUAAGGCCCUUUUGGGGGUACACGAGCGGCGAACGGGUGAGUAACACGUGGGUGACCUGCCCUCAGCUCUGGGAUAAGCCUGGGAAACUGGGUCUAAUACUGGAUAUGACCUUUCCUCGCAUGGGGGUUGGGUGGAAAGUUUUUCGGCUGGGGAUGGGCCCGCGGCCUAUCAGCUUGUUGGUGGGGUGAUGGCCUACCAAGGCGACGACGGGUAGCCGGCCUGAGAGGGCGACCGGCCACACUGGGGACUGAGACACGGCCCAGACUCCUACGGGAGGCAGCAGUGGGGAAUAUUGCGCAAUGGGCGGAAGCCUGACGCAGCGACGCCGCGUGGGGAUGACGGCC